AUACGGAGGGUGCAAGCGUUACUCGGAAUCACUGGGCGUAAAGCGCGCGCAGGCGGCUUGAUAAGUUGGAUGUGAAAGCCUACGGCUCAACCGUAGAACUGCAUCCAAAACUGUCAAGCUAGAGUCUUGGAGGGGAGGAUGGAAUUAGUUGUGUAGGGGUAAAAUCCGUAGAGAUAACUAGGAAUACCAAAAGCGAAGGCGAUCUUCUGGAACAGUACUGACGCUGAGGCGCGAAAGCGUGGGGAGCAAACAGGAUUAGAUACCCGAGUAGUCC
RNAcentral lists this ribosomal RNA (274 nucleotides) under uncultured bacterium. Its description in RNAcentral is "partial 16S ribosomal RNA". It matches the Rfam family "Bacterial small subunit ribosomal RNA", at positions 523 to 796 of the family's 1533-position model. The record is from RNAcentral.